AGAAAGCAUCUUUCGGUUCCUCACUCCAUAUUUUAUAUCAUUUAUUUUCAAUCAGAGGUGAAAAUUUGUGGAUUAUGAAUGACUUCUGGUUGAGCUUUCAGCAAAUAUAUUUUGCUACAGUGGGCAGAAGCAAUCGAAAGUUUGGAUGAUGGAGUCCCAGGAUCGGAUAAGAGCUUUGGCAUGAAGCAAAGGCCAAAUGGUGAUAUUGAAAUCGAUGAAAAAUAUUGGGAGCAUGAUUUCUGUAUUCUAACCUGCCAAAAGUGCAACGGAGUGCUCAAACCUGAUGAAAGGGGAAGACCUUUAAUAACACAACAGUGAAGCGGUCGAUUAUGGUGCCCACGAUUAGUAACAAGCUAGCAGAUAUGAUGAUUAUUCAUGGAGGAAAUAUGGCCAAAAGCCAAUCAAGGCUUCUCCACACCCAAGAUAAUUGAAGUCAUAUCGGGUUGAAAGCUAAGCGAUUGUGCAGAGAUGGCCAAGCGGUCGUUGAAAAUUGAAGACUGAGAAGGCAUUUAGGAUUUUUAAUUAUUUAAUUCUUGUAUUAGAAUCUUUUUUCAUGUACUAUUGUAGACUGUAUAUAUAAACAUAAUAUUAAGAUUUUAUUUUGUGUAUUCAAAUGUAAAAGACAAAUAUUAUAGUUUCUAACAUAAUAUGAAUUUCAUUGAUUU
Long non-coding RNA from Cucumis melo (muskmelon), 665 nucleotides. RefSeq lists it as uncharacterized. Lineage: Eukaryota; Viridiplantae; Streptophyta; Magnoliopsida; Cucurbitales; Cucurbitaceae. The transcript has 3 exons. The record is from RefSeq and is a predicted model, not a curated record.